Molecule: long non-coding RNA, 357 nt
Organism: Mytilus californianus (California mussel)
Lineage: Eukaryota; Metazoa; Mollusca; Bivalvia; Mytilida; Mytilidae
Exons: 3
Source: RefSeq, a predicted model, not a curated record
UUACAAGCAUGCUGGCACCCAACACACAAUAAUAACAAUAAUGAUAAAGUAUUUGAUUACGUUUUCCUUGAUUUUGAUCUGCGUCCAUCAUAAUACUGGUGGUUUAGCUGUAUAUAAACGAAGUAUGAAUCCCGACUGCAGCAUAGAAAUCCAAAAGGACUGCAAAGAUAGAGGAUAUGAUGUUAUUAACGAUGAAAAAAAUUCAUGUGUGUGUGUCAUUACAAAAGAUGAUGAAAGGAGAUGAACAUUAAUCAGGAUAAGGAAAGACCAUGAAGAAGAAACGAUAGUUUUGUAUGACUGUUCUGAUUGUGUGAAUAUAUAUGCCUCUGUAUCGUUGCUCAAUAUCUCUUUCAUGUA